Myotis lucifugus (little brown bat) is the source of this 975-nucleotide long non-coding RNA. RefSeq lists it as uncharacterized. The record is from RefSeq and is a predicted model, not a curated record. The transcript has 4 exons. Lineage: Eukaryota; Metazoa; Chordata; Mammalia; Chiroptera; Vespertilionidae.
UCUUCCUAAAGUGAAACUGUAGCCAUCCACCUGCCCUCUCAUCCUGGUUUCAGGUGAGGAAUUAUGAAUUGUGGGUGUUGUAGUCUUCUGCCUUUUAGGAUUUCUGGUUGGGCAGCCUGGAGCUACACUGGGAGGACUUCGAGUCCCAGGUGGCUCUGUAAGCUGCAGUUCAGGUGCCACACGCAGAGCAAGACAUGUUUGAAGAGAGCCCUUGGUUUACGCAGAGUGACUUUCAUUCACUAACAUGAUGUUCCUGAACUGAAGAGGCUUGGGUUCAUUUCCACAACUUUUGAAGAAAAAAGAAAAGCUGGUUUCCCUGCCUCUGUCAUUAUUGAGCAGUGUGUCAGAACCUGCUUUCCACUUCCUGUGGAUAGAAAGACCUCAUAUGGUUUCUAUUUUUUCUUACUGGACCCUGAGUGCCACAGUAGGUGCUGUGUUGCUGCUAGUCAUUUGCAGAGAUGGAUAAAAUGUUCACUAAGAAAAAAUGUUCAGAUAAGUGAAACUGGUGUGACAGAAAGUUCCGCAGUUGAUUUUGAUGCAGAGGACUAGUUGAGGACCACUACUUUACACUAAACUCCUUAGGGCAACCGGUUAGAGGGCUGGAAGCAAGACCAUCACAAGUUCUGGAACAGCAGCAGCCCAAGAGGUCCUGACCUGGCACCAAGUGGUGAUGUGGACACAACUCUGAGGCUCCUUCAAGUUUCUCCAGCUGAACACAAGGAACCCACCAGCUCCCAUGAAGCAGUGUGGGUUUCAGCAGAGGGACACACUACUCCCAACUCAAUAUUUCACUGUUUUAAAUAAAAAGGGGAAAUGGAGAGGAAGGGAAAGGCAGAGCUCCUUCUGAAAGGUUGGAAGUUCCUUUGGGCUGCAAGGUGAGGGGGCUCAAUCUUUCAGGCUGAUUUAAUAAAAUGAAGAAGACAGUGAUAGACAGUUUUAUUUAUUUCAUUCCAAAUGGUUUCCUUUGUAUUUAAU